Molecule: ribosomal RNA, 253 nt
Filed under: uncultured bacterium
Lineage: Bacteria
Description: partial 16S ribosomal RNA
Rfam family: Bacterial small subunit ribosomal RNA
Source: RNAcentral
UACGAAGGGUGCAAGCGUUACUCGGAAUUACUGGGCGUAAAGCGUGCGUAGGUGGUUCGUUAAGUCUGAUGUGAAAGCCCUGGGCUCAACCUGGGAAUGGCAUUGGAAACUGGCGAUCUAGAGUGCGGUAGAGGGUAGUGGAAUUCCCGGUGUAGCAGUGAAAUGCGUAGAGAUCGGGAGGAACAUCUGUGGCGAAGGCGGCAUCCUGGACCGGCAUUGACGCUGAGGCGCGAAAGCUAGGGGAGCAAACGGG